This 918-nucleotide small RNA is filed under the name Pan troglodytes (chimpanzee). Its description in RNAcentral is "processed transcript". The record is from RNAcentral. Lineage: Eukaryota; Metazoa; Chordata; Mammalia; Primates; Hominidae.
CUGGGGCUCCGCGCUCGUCCGGCCGGCCCCGGCCUCGCCGCCCCGCGCAGUACCCACCCGGCCCCGCCGACCCGCCUCUACUGCCGGCUCCGCGCCCUUCCCCGGGGGCUGGAUGAUGGGCUGUUUCGCCCUGCAAACGGUGGACACCGAGCUGACGGCGGACUCGGUGGAGUGGUGCCCGCUGCAAGGCUGCAGGCACCUGCUGGCGUGCGGGACCUACCAGCUGCGGCGGCCGGAGGACCGGCCUGCCGGCCCCCAGAAUAAGAUAUACAACCACUUCCUGUUGUGUCACACUUGCCUGCAGUAACAUGCUGUAAGGUUUGUGGCAUAGGAGCAGUGGGCCAUACCAUAUAGUCAAGGUGUCACAUCCCGGUGGCUGGACAUGCCCUCUUGGGCUUGGCAGAUGCCAGUGGAUCCAUACAACUGCUCCGCCUGGUGGAAUCUGAGAAGAGCCACGUGCUGGAGCCAUUGUCCAGCCUUGCCCUGGAGGAGCAGUGUCUGGCUUUGUCCCUCGAUUGGUCCACUGGGAAAACUGGAAGGGCGGGGGACCAGCCCUUGAAGAUCAUCAGCAGUGACUCCACAGGGCAGCUCCACCUCCUGAUGGUGAAUGAGACGAGGCCCAGGCUGCAGAAAGUGGCCUCAUGGCAGGCACAUCAAUUCGAGGCCUGGAUUGCUGCUUUCAAUUACUGGCAUACAGAAAUUGUGUAUUCAGGGGGUGACGAUGGCCUUCUGAGGGGCUGGGACACCAGGGUACCCGGCAAAUUUCUCUUCACCAGCAAAAGCUAUGAUGAACACAUCCUACUGUGGGACACACGAAACAUGAAGCAGCCGUUGGCAGACACGCCCGUGCAGGGUGGGGUAUGGAGAAUCAAGUGGCACCCUUUCCACCACCACCUGCUCCUGGCCGCCUGCAUGCAC